Molecule: ribosomal RNA, 545 nt
Filed under: Saccharomyces cerevisiae (brewer's yeast)
Lineage: Eukaryota; Fungi; Ascomycota; Saccharomycetes; Saccharomycetales; Saccharomycetaceae
Description: eukaryotic LSU rRNA
Rfam family: Eukaryotic large subunit ribosomal RNA
Source: RNAcentral
GAAACCAACCGGGAUUGCCUUAGUAACGGCGAGUGAAGCGGCAAAAGCUCAAAUUUGAAAUCUGGUACCUUCGGUGCCCGAGUUGUAAUUUGGAGAGGGCAACUUUGGGGCCGUUCCUUGUCUAUGUUCCUUGGAACAGGACGUCAUAGAGGGUGAGAAUCCCGUGUGGCGAGGAGUGCGGUUCUUUGUAAAGUGCCUUCGAAGAGUCGAGUUGUUUGGGAAUGCAGCUCUAAGUGGGUGGUAAAUUCCAUCUAAAGCUAAAUAUUGGCGAGAGACCGAUAGCGAACAAGUACAGUGAUGGAAAGAUGAAAAGAACUUUGAAAAGAGAGUGAAAAAGUACGUGAAAUUGUUGAAAGGGAAGGGCAUUUGAUCAGACAUGGUGUUUUGUGCCCUCUGCUCCUUGUGGGUAGGGGAAUCUCGCAUUUCACUGGGCCAGCAUCAGUUUUGGUGGCAGGAUAAAUCCAUAGGAAUGUAGCUUGCCUCGGUAAGUAUUAUAGCCUGUGGGAAUACUGCCAGCUGGGACUGAGGACUGCGACGUAAGUCAA